This is an RNA transcript of Pangasianodon hypophthalmus (striped catfish), 2949 nucleotides long. It is a transcript of the gene named hydroxysteroid (17-beta) dehydrogenase 3, with no coding region annotated. NCBI's taxonomy places the organism in Eukaryota, Metazoa, Chordata, Actinopteri, Siluriformes, Pangasiidae. The transcript is spliced from 11 exons. The record is from RefSeq and is a predicted model, not a curated record.
CAAAUUCCCACAAACCAAUGUAAUUGGGAAUGUGAAACUUGUUGGGCCUGAUUGGGUGAGUCUGCCAUCAGUCAGUGGGAGUGUGUGUGUGUGUGUGAGCUGGAGGGUUGUGUUUGAGAAGCCAACAGAGGAGACAAGCAGUGCAAAAGGGACCAGGCUUGCUGUCAGGAUACACUCAUCUCCUGUCCUAAAGGAAGCCUGUGGUUCUGGAAUGGCACUGAUGGAGCUUAUCUUUGUCUUGAGUGGUGCCUGCGUUGUCCUCUUUUGGCUGGCACGCAUGUUUAUGAUGCUCGCUCCGAAGGUCUGUUGGCCAAUUCCUGGGAAUUUCUUUACCUCGAUGGGAAAAUGGGCAGUCAUCACUGGAGGGUCAGAAGGAAUAGGAAAAGCUUAUGCAGAAGAGUUUGCAAGACUUGGGCUGAAUGUGGUGAUCAUUAGCAGGAGCAAAGAGAAGCUUGACAGAGCUGCAAGAGACAUAGAGGUUAAAAUGGACAGAAAGGUCAUGGUCAUAGCCGUCGACUUUACCAAGGAUGAUAUCUAUGGAUGCAUUAAGGAAAAUAUUCAGGGUUUGGAUAUCGCCGUUUUAGUUAAUAAUGUGGGAAUUCUGCCAAGUAAGGUGCCCUACAAAUUACUUGAAACAGUUCAUCUGGAAGAGAAAAUUCAUCAAAUGAUCAACUGUAAUGUCAAAGCAAUGGUCAAGAUGUGCCGCAUUGUCCUUCCUGGAAUGGUGGAAAGAGGACGGGGCGUCAUCCUGAACAUUUCAUCUGGCAUUUCUAAAAUUCCCUUCCCCAUGUACACUUUAUAUUCAGCUACAAAGGUGUUUGUUGACAUAUUCUCACGAGGGCUUCAAGCAGAAUACAAAUCCAAUGGAAUUCUUAUUCAGUAUUCUCAUCAAGGACCUGGCUCUUCCAGAGUGUGUCUCCUUUUGGGGUCUCCACUGCAAUGACGGGCUAUCAGAAACCAAGCAUUAUUACUUUCACUCCUGAGGGGUUUGUGAGGAGCUCCCUGAUGUAUCUGAAAGCUGGAGAGCAAACAUAUGGCAGUGUCAGCCAUGCAAUCCUGGGCUGGAUCAUCCAGGCAAUCCCCACCUGGGUUCUGAGGAGAGAAGCACUUCACAAUGCAUUUCAGGACUAUGUAAAGAAGCAGGUGGGCGGCUGAGGGCUGUGUUUGUAAUCUAGCACUUUGAUAGUGCAUAUUAUUUCUUCAUGCCACUAGUAAUUGUUGUCACCAUCUGAAAACCACUGCUUGGGAAGCUAGAGGAAGUCAGGGUCAUACUAAAUGCCUUAUCAGCACCCUAAGAUAGCAGAAUCUCAGAAUGUACUUGACUAUACUUCCCAUGUGCAAAGACUCUAUGCUCCUUAAUUGGUCUCAAGAUAAAGGAGAAAUAAUGAAAUUAUACAACAGGUAAUUUUUUUGUGCCAAGUCCGUUUGAAGGCAAAUUGCUUUUAACUGAAUUAUGAGGCACGUUUAUCAAGUACACAUCAUCUUGUCCAGGGUUAGUGACCCUUAUAUGAAACCAGUGUGGGGAGAGAAAAAUUUUAGAAUACAUGGCUCCAUCUAGUGGGCACAGCUCAUCUCAAAUCAAAUCUGCUGACAUUCAGAGAAUAUAUGUAUAUGCAACUAUAUGAAAUUUAACAAUAAGAAUGUGUGUGGACUGUGUGUAUUACUGUGCAAGUGUAUAUAUAUAUAUAUAUAUAUAUAUAUAUAUAUAUAUAUAUAUAUAUAUAUAUAUAUAUAUAUAUAUAUAUACCAAAGUCUUAGGCACAUGCAAAGAAAUGCUGUAGAGCAAAGAAAAAUAAUGAAAUUGAAAGUUUCUACAUUAAAAAAAUACUAUAAAGGGCAGUAAACAGUAAUAAAAGAAACAACAUCAAUAUUUGGUGUGCUGGCCCCUUUUAAAAAAUAAUUUAAAAAAAUUAAAUAAAAUAAGCACAAUUAGUACAAUUUGUGCAAUUUUAUAAGGAAAUUAUCUGGUAGGUUUUACUGUAAUAUGCUGCUUUCUUUCCUGACUUACAAACUUUUUUUCUAAUAAACGUUCUAAUAAUGUUUGGAAAUCUAAGAGGUUUUUGUUCUGACUUAAUAAUGUAGAAGUCAUAAAAUAAAAAUAUAUAACAAAGUUUAUACUAAAAAAAAUAGGUUGUCUAAGACAUUUGCACAGUACUGUAUACAGUAUACAGUAAAGAGUGCUUACUUGAGUUACUAUAGACUUCCUGUCAGCUCAGACCAGUCUGGUCAUUCUCCUCUGAUCUCUCUCAAAAAGGUAUUUUAUCCUGCAGACUCUCUACACCUUGUUUUUUGCACCAUUCUGUGUAAAUUCUAGAGACUCCUGUGUGAAAAUCUCUGGAGAUCAGCAGUUUCUGAAAUACUCACACCAGCCACAUAUGUAAAUAUAUAUGAUCUCUGUGACUUUAACUGUGGUAUGGUUGUUGGUACCAGAUGUGUGUGUAUGUGUGUAUAUAUAUAUAUGGUGUCCCAGAUGUCUCCAUACAUAGGGGACUAUGUUUGCCAGCAUCCCCUCGGCUGUGCCUUUGUCAGUGGAUGUUCAUGGACGUCACCCUCUUGGCGGGUCCGCAAAACGCCCAUUCUUUUUGAAUUUGUUAAUAAGUUUAGCCACAGUGUUGUGUGUGAUAUGCUUGCCAUGUUUCCUGUUAAAGUCCAUAGCAACCUUGCAACAGAUUCCUGAUCCAGCCAUGGAUCAACAUGUUCUUCUUUUGUUAAAGGCUUUCUUAAAGAAGGCUAUUUGAAAAAAAUAUAUAUCAUGGGACACCCUGUGUAUAUCUAUAUCUAUAUCUUAAUCUAUAUAUAUAGAUUUAUAUAUCUAUAUAUAUAUAUACACACACAAUCAAAGGUUCAAUCAUGUUUUAUGUAUCCCAAAAUGCAGAUAAUUUAUAUUCCCCCCGACCUGUGAAUGAUAAGAUUUAAUACAAAAAUAAAUAAAUAAAUAAAUAAAUACAU